GUGAAUUAGUGUCGAGGAGCAGGGGUAAGAGGUAGGUGGCAAGGGUUGUCCGGAGUUACUGGGCGUAAAGGGCGUGCAGUCGGUCGGUUAAGUGCAGGGUGAAAGCUCCCGGCUCAACUGGGAGAGGUCCUUGCAUACUGGCGGACUUGAGGGGGGUAGAGGAAAGUGGAAUUCCCGGUGUAGUGGUGAUAUGCGUAGAUAUCGGGAGGAACACCUGUGGCGAAGGCGGCUUUCUGGGCCCUACCUGACGCUGAGACGCGAAAGCGUGGGGAGCGAACCGGAUUAGAUACCCUAGUAGUC
This 300-nucleotide ribosomal RNA is filed under the name uncultured Thermovibrio sp. Its description in RNAcentral is "bacterial SSU rRNA". It matches the Rfam family "Bacterial small subunit ribosomal RNA", at positions 496 to 795 of the family's 1533-position model. The record is from RNAcentral. Lineage: Bacteria; Pseudomonadati; Aquificota; Aquificia; Desulfurobacteriales; Desulfurobacteriaceae.